GUGUACCGGUACAAGGAGGCCGAAACAGCGGGAUGAGUUGCAGAUUUUGGAAAAACAGAGGGACUUAACAGGGUAUUGUUACAACAUGUGAUGAGGGGUUAUUAGAGAGAGUAUUCCCUCUCUCUCUCCCACUCCCACAGCCCCCUCUCUCUCUCUCUGUUCAUGCAAACCGGAGAAGAGAAAGAAGAAGAAAGAGAAGAGGAAAAGAAAAAGAGAAGACGAAAAAGAGAAGGAAAAGGAGAAGAUGGUGAGGACCAAGUAGAAGAU
Molecule: long non-coding RNA, 267 nt
Filed under: Ananas comosus (pineapple)
Lineage: Eukaryota; Viridiplantae; Streptophyta; Magnoliopsida; Poales; Bromeliaceae
Description: long non-coding RNA (ACOM_LNC013438)
Source: RNAcentral